Canis lupus familiaris (dog) is the source of this 477-nucleotide long non-coding RNA. RefSeq lists it as uncharacterized. Lineage: Eukaryota; Metazoa; Chordata; Mammalia; Carnivora; Canidae. The record is from RefSeq and is a predicted model, not a curated record. The transcript has 3 exons.
AACAGCUCAUUUUUCAUUCCUGCAAUCCCAUUCUCCAUGAAGUCAGGCUUCUUGGCAGGCCCAGACACAGUGAGAACAUGGUCAAGAGCUUAGAGCAGGUGGAAGCCAGUGCUUCGAGCCUCCCACAGUGGCCUCCGUUCCAUCCUACUCAAGAUCUUCAUUAAAAAUAGCACACUACAGGACAGCUCAACCUGAUGCUGUAAGUAGAAUCCGAAACAACUUUAGAUAUGUGGAUAUUUAAAGAAAAUGUUCCUGUUGACAUUUGAUUUUGCUGCACAUCACUCGGUUACUGGCAGACAUGAAGGAAGCCAGCACGGUGGACAGAAAUGGGCCAGGAGCUCUGGCUGGGAAGAUCGCAGCUCACAGGCUCUCUCUCGAACCUGCUGAACUUCCAAGAGCAACACACGACCUCUCUGAGCCUCAGUGUCCUUGCAUAUUGAAUAGAGGCAAUGAUGACUCCCCUCUGCGGUCAUGACU